GAUGAACGCUGGCGGCGUGCCUAAUACAUGCAAGUCGAGCGAACGGACGAGAAGUUUGCUUCUCUGAUGUUAGCGGCGGACGGGUGAGUAACACGUGGAUAACCUACCUAUAAGACUGGGAUAACUUCGGGAAACCGGAGCUAAUACCGGAUAAUAUUUUGAACCGCAUGGUUCAAAAGUGAAAGACGGUCUUGCUGUUACUUAUAGAUGGAUCCGCGCUGCAUUAGCUAGUUGGUAAGGUAACGGCUUACCAAGGCAACGAUGCAUAGCCGACCUGAGAGGGUGAUCGGCCACACUGGAACUGAGACACGGUCCAGACUCCUACGGGAGGCAGCAGUAGGGAAUCUUCCGCAAUGGGCGAAAGCCUGACGGAGCAACGCCGCGUGAGUGAUGAAGGUCUUCGGAUCGUAAAACUCUGUUAUUAGGGAAGAACAUAUGUGUAAGUAACUGUGCACAUCUUGACGGUACCUAAUCAGAAAGCCACGGCUAACUACGUG
This 497-nucleotide ribosomal RNA is filed under the name uncultured bacterium. Its description in RNAcentral is "partial 16S ribosomal RNA". It matches the Rfam family "Bacterial small subunit ribosomal RNA", at positions 28 to 507 of the family's 1533-position model. The record is from RNAcentral.